Molecule: long non-coding RNA, 75 nt
Organism: Gavialis gangeticus (Gharial)
Lineage: Eukaryota; Metazoa; Chordata; Crocodylia; Gavialidae
Exons: 3
Source: RefSeq, a predicted model, not a curated record
CUCUGCCAUAAUGGAGCUGGGAGGGGAACAAGUUCCCCAGCACCCACCAACAGGAAGCUCCCAGCCUGAACCCCA